UUUACAAACCCAUCUAAAUCUCUCUCAAAUCACCAAAAAACGUUGCUGCAAAUCAGAGUUCGGAUAGAUUCAUCGAGCUUUACGAAAAUGGGCAUAACUUCUUCAUUUCUCAUCCGUUUUAGCUCAUUCUUUUUCCAGAAUGCUUGGCUUGACCUUAUCUUCGAUUCCAUGGGUGUUUCGCAAUGAAUAAACCCCUGAAACUCCGGCAAAUAGGCUUCAAAGUCCACUGUUCAAAUUUGUUUCAUUAAUCUUUAUCAAUACUUACUUAAACUUGAGUUUAACUCACUCAAACCUAUGUCCUAAUGCUUACAACCUAUCUUAUGGUUGGUUAGGCUUAAAACAAGGUUGAGACAUGUGAAAUCAAAGGUGUAAACCUCACAUACUUUUCGUUUUUUUUGGGUUUUAACCCACAAGUAAUGAACAAGCCUAAUGCUUGAUGUUUGUGUGAUUAUAGGACUAGCUUGGGCUAUCCUACUUGUAAGUCCACACAUUACUUGAUGUUUUCCUUAGAUUAGUUGUACUAAUUCAUUCUUUAUUGUAUGUUCAUGACCCUCUUUGGUUGUUUUUAUAUCAAGUGUAGUGGGGAACACUUAGAGGUACCUAAAUGGAAGCUUGUUCUUCCUACCUCCUACAUGAUUUCCAUGAUAUUUAGAGGUACCUAAAUGAGGAUCUUAAUCUUCUACCUCAUGCUUGAAAUAUUGGACUUAAUAAUAUGUAUAAAAUAUAUGUAAUAUAUAAGCACAUAAUCCAAAUAAUCGAAUCUUAGAUGAUGAAUUAGUGUUCAUAUGUCCAAGUGCUAGAUUAUAUCAUCCUAUGAUAACUUGUUACGAUUCUAAUGGAACCAUGUUCCAUGAAACCAUAUAAACUCCUUGGAGUACAUAGUGUCAAGAACAAGUAUCAUAUGUAUUAGAUGAUUAUUUUCACAUGUUAUUCUCAUAUGUUAUUUUCAUGUUGUUUUAUUCCGAGUCUCGACUCUAAGCAUACUUGAACUUUAACCCUUAUACAUUCGGACUCUAAAUCUCUACUCGUCAACAAUUGGAUAAUCGGAAAGUAUGUGCAAACUUUGUUGAGGAUGAUGAUGCUAAGAAAUGAAGUAGCGUCGAUGCCUAGAUACACAUAUAGACGUUUAGGUUUAACCGUUGUAUCAAUUUUGAUUAUGUUGUAUUGUAAUUCCUUUGAACUUGACGUUAUUUGAUUUCUUUGUAACGUUGACAAAUGAAUUAUGAAAUGAAAUCGGU
RNAcentral lists this long non-coding RNA (1238 nucleotides) under Helianthus annuus (common sunflower). RNAcentral's name for it is "hypothetical non coding rna". Lineage: Eukaryota; Viridiplantae; Streptophyta; Magnoliopsida; Asterales; Asteraceae. The record is from RNAcentral.